RNAcentral lists this ribosomal RNA (1999 nucleotides) under Klebsiella pneumoniae. Its description in RNAcentral is "bacterial LSU rRNA". It matches the Rfam family "Bacterial large subunit ribosomal RNA", at positions 946 to 2925 of the family's 2925-position model. The record is from RNAcentral. Lineage: Bacteria; Pseudomonadati; Pseudomonadota; Gammaproteobacteria; Enterobacterales; Enterobacteriaceae.
GAUGCAAACUACGAAUACCGAAGAAUGUUAUCACGGGAGACACACGGCGGGUGCUAACGUCCGUCGUGAAGAGGGAAACAACCCAGACCGCCAGCUAAGGUCCCAAAGUCAUGGUUAAGUGGGAAACGAUGUGGGAAGGCACAGACAGCCAGGAUGUUGGCUUAGAAGCAGCCAUCAUUUAAAGAAAGCGUAAUAGCUCACUGGUCGAGUCGGCCUGCGCGGAAGAUGUAACGGGGCUAAACCAUGCACCGAAGCUGCGGCAGCGACACUAUGUGUUGUUGGGUAGGGGAGCGUUCUGUAAGCCUGCGAAGGUGACCUGUGAGGGUUGCUGGAGGUAUCAGAAGUGCGAAUGCUGACAUAAGUAACGAUAAAGCGGGUGAAAAGCCCGCUCGCCGGAAGACCAAGGGUUCCUGUCCAACGUUAAUCGGGGCAGGGUGAGUCGACCCCUAAGGCGAGGCCGAAAGGCGUAGUCGAUGGGAAACAGGUUAAUAUUCCUGUACUUGGUGUUACUGCGAAGGGGGGACGGAGAAGGCUAUGUUAGCCGGGCGACGGUUGUCCCGGUUUAAGCAUGUAGGCUGAUUGUCCAGGCAAAUCCGGAUAAUCAAGGCUGAGGUGUGAUGACGAGGCACUACGGUGCUGAAGUAACAAAUGCCCUGCUUCCAGGAAAAGCCUCUAAGCAUCAGGUAACAUUAAAUCGUACCCCAAACCGACACAGGUGGUCAGGUAGAGAAUACCAAGGCGCUUGAGAGAACUCGGGUGAAGGAACUAGGCAAAAUGGUGCCGUAACUUCGGGAGAAGGCACGCUGGUGUGUAGGUGAAGUCCCUGCGGAUGGAGCUGAGACCAGUCGAAGAUACCAGCUGGCUGCAACUGUUUAUUAAAAACACAGCACUGUGCAAACACGAAAGUGGACGUAUACGGUGUGACGCCUGCCCGGUGCCGGAAGGUUAAUUGAUGGGGUUAUCCGUAAGGAGAAGCUCUUGAUCGAAGCCCCGGUAAACGGCGGCCGUAACUAUAACGGUCCUAAGGUAGCGAAAUUCCUUGUCGGGUAAGUUCCGACCUGCACGAAUGGCGUAAUGAUGGCCAGGCUGUCUCCACCCGAGACUCAGUGAAAUUGAACUCGCUGUGAAGAUGCAGUGUACCCGCGGCAAGACGGAAAGACCCCGUGAACCUUUACUAUAGCUUGACACUGAACAUUGAGCCUUGAUGUGUAGGAUAGGUGGGAGGCUUUGAAGCGUGGACGCCAGUCUGCGUGGAGCCAACCUUGAAAUACCACCCUUUAAUGUUUGAUGUUCUAACGUUGGCCCCUGACCGGGGUUGCGGACAGUGUCUGGUGGGUAGUUUGACUGGGGCGGUCUCCUCCCAAAGCGUAACGGAGGAGCACGAAGGUUAGCUAAUCCUGGUCGGACAUCAGGAGGUUAGUGCAAUGGCAUAAGCUAGCUUGACUGCGAGCGUGACGGCGCGAGCAGGUGCGAAAGCAGGUCAUAGUGAUCCGGUGGUUCUGAAUGGAAGGGCCAUCGCUCAACGGAUAAAAGGUACUCCGGGGAUAACAGGCUGAUACCGCCCAAGAGUUCAUAUCGACGGCGGUGUUUGGCACCUCGAUGUCGGCUCAUCACAUCCUGGGGCUGAAGUAGGUCCCAAGGGUAUGGCUGUUCGCCAUUUAAAGUGGUACGCGAGCUGGGUUUAGAACGUCGUGAGACAGUUCGGUCCCUAUCUGCCGUGGGCGCUGGAGAAUUGAGGGGGGCUGCUCCUAGUACGAGAGGACCGGAGUGGACGCAUCACUGGUGUUCGGGUUGUCAUGCCAAUGGCACUGCCCGGUAGCUAAAUGCGGAAGAGAUAAGUGCUGAAAGCAUCUAAGCACGAAACUUGCCCCGAGAUGAGUUCUCCCUGAGACUUUAAGUCUCCUGAAGGAACGUUGAAGACGACGACGUUGAUAGGCCGGGUGUGUAAGCGCAGCGAUGCGUUGAGCUAACCGGUACUAAUGAACCGUGAGGCUUAACC